GCAGUCCAAAGCUAAGUUUUAGCAGUAAUUGGUAGAUGUAAAAGGGGAGGAAGGCACAGGAAGUGAUGCAAAAGAGUGUCUUUAUUUAAAAAGGAUUUACAACUUCCUGUGGGCACUUUGACUUCUGACUUCUUCCGGAUCCGAGUUCCUGUGGGAGGCUGUUGAAGAAUCUGCUGCCUGGACCUGAGACCUUGUACAAGGUCAGACUGCUCUUGAAUCUCUCCCUUUGUACUGACAUGUGAACAGGAAUUGUGACUCUGAUUAUGAAUGGGGGAAGAGAAGCCAAGAUUUGCUGUUGAGGAGAGACUAGGGAAAAGAAAGUUGGAACUUGUAGAGUCGGAAGCAUAGCUGGAUCAAACUGGAAAGGUAUUUAUAUUUAUUAUAUGAAUUCAAGAUUUGAUGGGAAUAAGCAUCCAGAGAUUAUAUAUUGUAUAUCAAAGAUACAAUACUGCAGCUACUUGGAAGGAGGCUACAGUGAAAUGCACUAAUUAUAAAUAUACCAAUUUAAUUUCCAUAAAUGUGAGAGAAUUGUAAAGGAUGUCAAAACAGAUGAAAUACCCUGUUUGAUUGCUGUGUCUGAUGAAUCAUAAAAAAUUUAAAAAAUGAAAAAAUAAAGCAACUAUAUAAAAGUGGAAUGGGUCAUUUUGGGAAUUUAUGUGGUCAGCCUCUGUAUGGGUCUUCAGGCAAUGUCUGGAUGUUCACUGAUCAGAUUUAUUUCAGAACAAUUAUUGAACUAGAAAGUUUGAAUUAAGGGUCGAGGCAAUUCUCUGACUAUAUUAAUCAUCCAAAAGAUUUUCUUUUUUUUCUUUUCAUUGUAUUUGAGUAAAGAUGGCAUCUAAACCACUCCAUUUUGUUCUGGUGCCUUGUCUAGGUACAAACAAUUUUGAUUGAAUUAGUCAUUCAGAACAAAUUAUGAAUAGUGUCUCCAUACCUCCUUCAGUUAAUCAAAGACAUUGUGAGUCACAGCUUUGUGUAAAAGACAGAAGCUAUCUCACAAUGGGUUGAGGAAAGAGCUGAUUCUGAAUGUCUGGAUUCUAGAAGUUGGAACAAGAAAUGAACAAAGUGGGGAUAGUGAUGUGGCAGAAAUAGGAGACAGCAAAGAGAGCCAUUGACUCUAAAAAGAGAUAAUAUAUCUAUUCUCUACUCCAAAAUAUGGACUACAGAAACCGGGGGAUCCCCAAGAUCCUUUCUUGAAGUAUAUAUGAUCAAAAUGCAAUGUACUAAGAUAUUUACAUUUUUAAAUACAGUAUAUAUAAAUAGAUAGAACUCACACCAACUGAAGAUCUAUGGGGUCCUUAACAAAUUUUAAGAAUUCAAACUGCUACUAAAAUAAAAAAAAAAUUGAGACCUGCUGCUUUAUAGGCAUCUUGAAAUUUAAAAAAAUUCAGGAUGAAAGAAGUUUUAAGAAAAGUUUGAAGAAGAAAACAUUCAUUGUCUCCUAUGUGCCAAGUAUUGUGCUAAUAGCUUUUUUAGAUUUUAUUUCAUUUGAUCCCACAAAUUUGUGGGAUAAGCACUUUAAUUUUUCUCAUUUUACAUAUGAAGGAGCUGGUUAAUCAGAGGUUAAGUGACUUACCCAGAGCAACACAUCUAGUAAAUGCCUGAAACCAGAUUUGAACUAACAGGAUUUUCUUGAAUUCAGACCCUGCUUUUUAUCUAUUGAGUCACUUACCUAUCUCUUUCAACUCCUUCCCCAGCUUCUUCUCACAUUUCCUAUCUAUAGAAAAUAGUUUAUUUGCCAUUCCCUAACCUGAAUUUUCCCCCAACUACAAAGUGAAGUUCAUUAGAGUCAGAUAUCAAAUGAUGGACAGUCUAUCCUCUGCACAAGUGUAUUGGGACUUUUCCUAAGCAGUGACUUUAAUUAAUCUUGAUUUUUUAAAAACUUUUUUAUCCAAAAAAUAUCCUUAAAGGCAAAGAAGAGAAAAUUAGUAGGUUGAAAUCUAUUUUAUUUAUCAUAAUAUUUAAAAUAUUUAAUAUUAUUGUAGUAGGGGACUAUGCUUGGAUACAACUGCCAUCUACCUAUAUAUAUAUAUAUACAUAUAUAUAUAUACACACACAUACACAUAUGUGUAUGUGUAUGUAUAUUUGUAUAAAUGCAUAUAUGCCUAUGGAUAUUUGUGACCAAAAUUCUUUUUCUUAAAUUUUAAACAUUUAAUCUCCUAAAAGCCAAGAAUUUAUGUAAAAAUUAACUUUUGUUAAUUGUUCAGUGCAUUACCACUGAAUAGCAGCUGUAAUGAGUCAAAUGUUUCUAGUUUUUAACCUCUGCUCAAUAAGUAAGGUAAGGAACUUGCAUACACAUAUAA
Monodelphis domestica (gray short-tailed opossum) is the source of this 2300-nucleotide long non-coding RNA. RefSeq lists it as uncharacterized. Lineage: Eukaryota; Metazoa; Chordata; Mammalia; Didelphimorphia; Didelphidae. The record is from RefSeq and is a predicted model, not a curated record.